UUAAGUUCAGCGGGUAUCCCUACCUGAUCCGAGGUCAAAAGUGGAAAAAGGCUUACUGGACGCCAGCAUUACAGGCAUGACUCGCAAAAUGUGCUGCGCUUCAAUACCAAAACACUGGCUGCCAAUUGCUUUAAGGCGAGUCCACACACGGCGGAGUGGACAAACACCCAACACAAGCAGAGCUUGAGGGUACAAAUGAC
This 200-nucleotide unclassified non-coding RNA is filed under the name Dothideomycetes sp. RNAcentral describes it as "partial internal transcribed spacer 2". Lineage: Eukaryota; Fungi; Ascomycota; Dothideomycetes. The record is from RNAcentral.